UCUAAAAUAGUCUAAUUAAAGAUAUAAAAUUUAGAAUUUUAAGAUGUCUCUCUUUUAGAA
This 60-nucleotide transfer RNA is filed under the name Proasellus parvulus. RNAcentral describes it as "transfert RNA-L1(CTA)". The record is from RNAcentral. Lineage: Eukaryota; Metazoa; Arthropoda; Malacostraca; Isopoda; Asellidae.